RNAcentral lists this small nuclear RNA (316 nucleotides) under Rattus norvegicus (Norway rat). Its description in RNAcentral is "7SK RNA". It matches the Rfam family "7SK RNA". From Rfam's summary of the family: 7SK was discovered as an abundant small nuclear RNA in the mid-70s but a possible function has only recently been suggested. Lineage: Eukaryota; Metazoa; Chordata; Mammalia; Rodentia; Muridae. The record is from Rfam by way of RNAcentral.
UAAUGAGUUGGCUGCAAUAUCUGCUACACCAUUGAUUGCUAGUUUUGAUUCAGUUCGUUCGACUUGGUUGAAGUUUGUUCCCUUCCUCCUCUGCCUUCUCCAUGGUGAGACUUACCUCCUGCUGCUGCACGCUUAGUUCAGGAAGACAGCCUUUUAGAUAGGGAAGGGUCUUUCUCUAGUCAGGGGUAUAUGCAUACCUGUACUUUCUUGCUAGAACAUCUAAAGGAGCCUUCAAACUCAAAUGAUUUUGCUUAUUCAAAUGAGGUAACAUAAGAAGACUAAUUCAAAGAGAAAAAAAUAAAAUACAAGUUGUUUU